Molecule: ribosomal RNA, 506 nt
Filed under: Aeromonas hydrophila
Lineage: Bacteria; Pseudomonadati; Pseudomonadota; Gammaproteobacteria; Aeromonadales; Aeromonadaceae
Description: partial 23S ribosomal RNA
Rfam family: Bacterial large subunit ribosomal RNA
Source: RNAcentral
UGUAAGUCUGCGAAGGUGUGUCGAGAGGCAUGCUGGAGAUAUCAGAAGUGCGAAUGCUGACGUAAGUAACGAUAAAGGGGGUGAAAAGCCUCCUCGCCGGAAGACCAAGGGUUCCUGUCCAACGUUAAUCGGGGCAGGGUGAGUCGACCCCUAAGGCGAGGCCGAAAGGCGUAGUCGAUGGGAAGCAGGUUAAUAUUCCUGCACGACUUGUAAUUGCGAUGGGGGGACGGAGAAGGCUAGGUGGGCCAGGCGACGGUUGUCCUGGUGAAAGUGCGUAGGUGGUGUUUCUAGGCAAAUCCGGAGACACAACACUGAGACACGAGACGAACGCACUACGGUGCGGAAGCCAUUGAUGCCCUGCUUCCAGGAAAAGCCUCUAAGCUUCAGAUUACAAGUCAUCGUACCCCAAACCGACACAGGUGGUCGGGUAGAGAAUACCAAGGCGCUUGAGAGAACUCGGGUGAAGGAACUAGGCAAAAUAGAACCGUAACUUCGGGAGAAGGUUC